Molecule: small RNA, 562 nt
Filed under: Pan troglodytes (chimpanzee)
Lineage: Eukaryota; Metazoa; Chordata; Mammalia; Primates; Hominidae
Description: processed transcript
Source: RNAcentral
CUUCCUCUUCCGCUAACUUCCCGGCAGCGCGCCGCUCAGGGUGGGGGCCCCGAGGGCUGGGGCCGUCGGCUUCCCCCUGGGGUUCCCCCGCUUCAGAGAAAGCCAAGCGUUAGGCGCAGCCAAAGCCGAGAGGCAGCGGAAGCUCCCGGCCCGGGGUGGCGCUGGGUCAGCGGGUACCUUCUCGGCGGUCCCCUGGCCGGCCGGACUCGCGCCUGGUGUCCUGUCACCCCGCUCCCCGCCCUGAGUGAGCCUGUCCCCUCUCAGGGGCGCGCCCGAGUCGCUCCGGGUUGGCUGCGCCAGUCCAGAGUUAAACUUUCAGCCAAUGAAAAAGGGCGCGAGGCGUGACGCACGGAAACGUCAUGGGAAUUCCCCCCUCCGGGGGGCCGAGAAGGGGCUUUCCCGGCCCUGAGCCCUGCUGGCCGGCGAGGUGUCGCGACCGGUCCCAGGUGGGUCGGGCGCGGAGAGAAGCCGCAACCAGAGCCGCCGCCACGGCGGGCGUCUAAAAUUCUGGGAAGCAGAACCUGGCCGGAGCCACUAGACAGAGCCGGGCCUAGCCCAGAGA